This 253-nucleotide ribosomal RNA is filed under the name uncultured bacterium. RNAcentral describes it as "partial 16S ribosomal RNA". It matches the Rfam family "Bacterial small subunit ribosomal RNA", at positions 524 to 776 of the family's 1533-position model. The record is from RNAcentral.
GACGAACCGAGCGAACGUUGUUCGGAAUCACUGGGCUUAAAGGGUGCGUAGGUGGCGCCGUAAGUCGGGUGUGAAAUUUCGGAGCUUAACUCCGAAACUGCAUUCGAUACUGCGGUGCUUGAGGACUGGAGAGGAGACUGGAAUUCAUGGUGUAGCAGUGAGAUGCGUAGAGAUCAUGAGGAAGACCAGUGGCGAAGGCGGGUCUCUGGACAGUUCCUGACACUGAGGCACGAAGGCCAGGGGAGCAAACGGG